AUUGGGGAAAUUAUUGAAUCUCUCCCGAACCGACUUCCUAAAUCGGCUAAUUUUUGCUUUCUUCCUUCAGUUCAAAUUCAAUCUAUGCAGUUACUGCGAUGGCUCCAAAGUGUUGAAUGAAAACGGCGACCACGCUGAGGCAGAACGCAGAACGGCAAUGAAGAGCUGGACUGCUGGCUUCAAAGUGGCUGCGCCCUAAGCCGUU
This 205-nucleotide unclassified non-coding RNA is filed under the name Hevea brasiliensis (rubber tree). The record is from RNAcentral. Lineage: Eukaryota; Viridiplantae; Streptophyta; Magnoliopsida; Malpighiales; Euphorbiaceae.